GAGUUUGAUCUUGGCUCAGAUUGAACGCUGGCGGCAUGCCUUACACAUGCAAGUCGAACGGCAGCACGGGAGCUUGCUCCUGGUGGGCGAGUGGCGAACGGGUGAGUAAUGCAUCGGAACGUAUCCUGGAGUGGGGGAUAACGUAGCGAAAGUUACGCUAAUACCGCAUAUUCUGUGAGCAGGAAAGCGGGGGACCUUCGGGCCUCGCGCUCUUGGAGCGGCCGAUGUCGGAUUAGCUAGUUGGUGAGGUAAAGGCUCACCAAGGCGACGAUCCGUAGCAGGUCUGAGAGGAUGAUCUGCCACACUGGAACUGAGACACGGUCCAGACUCCUACGGGAGGCAGCAGUCGGGAAUUUUGGACAAUGGGGGCAACCCUGAUCCAGCCAUGCCGCGUGAGUGAAGAAGGCCUCGGUGUAAG
Molecule: ribosomal RNA, 418 nt
Filed under: bacterium enrichment culture clone ALO1_GLFRUDD03G2RJ0
Lineage: Bacteria
Description: bacterial SSU rRNA
Rfam family: Bacterial small subunit ribosomal RNA
Source: RNAcentral